Molecule: ribosomal RNA, 518 nt
Filed under: uncultured bacterium
Lineage: Bacteria
Description: bacterial SSU rRNA
Rfam family: Bacterial small subunit ribosomal RNA
Source: RNAcentral
GACGAACGCUGGCGGCGUGCCUAACACAUGCAAGUCGAACGAAGUAAGUUGCUUCACCAAGUGUUGAAUAGAUACCCCAAGCGCAUUUGCCAAAGGGUAAGCGAAAAGUACUAUCAAUUAAAUAAAAUGGUGAAACAAAAGAAUAGCGAAGAAGAAGCAAAUGCGCUUCACGCUAAUUCCAAGUACCAACACAAAACAAAUUCAAUGUUUGGUGAAGCAACUUGCUUAGUGGCGGACGGGUGAGUAACGCGUGAACAAUCUGCCCCGUACAAAGGGAUAGCCUCGGGAAACCGGGAUUAAAACCAUAUAACGCUUUAGUACCGCAUGGUAAUAAAGUCAAAUCGAUUAAGAGGUAUGGGAUGAGUUCGCGUCUGAUUAGCUAGUUGGUGAGGUAAGGGCGUCACCAAGGCGACGAUCAGUAGCCGGCCUGAGAGGGUGAACGGCCGACACUGGAACUGAGACACGGUCCAGACUCCUACGGAGGCAGCAGUGGGAAUAUUGCACAAUGGAGGGAACUC